GGUGAUGGAGUGGGGCUGGUAACCUAGGAAGGGGCAAGGGUCACUACAAUGUUAAUUGGUGUCUGCAGAUCAGACCCAUUUUUCUAUAGUGAAUAAUUUAAAAACAAUGUCAUUCAUUAAAUGAACCAAUGCCCUUGACUUCUUAAAAGAGGUGAAGGGAAUUAAUCACAGUAAGUUCUCUGAACAUAAAAAUUAACUAAGUUUAUAGUGCUGGAACUGAUGUGUGUGCGAUAACAGUACAUUAUAUUUGAAAGGAUGACCAGAAGACAGCAGCAGGAAUUAAACUAAAGCCAAGAAACUGAGCACAGCUCCUUGGACAAAUCUUAAUCUUGGCUGAUGCCAUAUCUGGUGGGGGUGAGCUGAAGUGUACUUCACUGUGCAUAGAGAGAGAAACCUGCUUUUGAAACUCCUUCCAGAAGCAUACUAUCUUUUCAUUUUUCCACCACAAAGAGAGCUCCCAGAUGAUUAUGCACUCUUCUGCCCAGUGAACAAAAGGAAGCAUAAUCUGGACUAACUACAGGUUGAAUAUCCCAGGUUCUUCUCAGGUUAUGGUUGGCUGAGCUAUACUUAUUGAACACCUGCUGUAAAUAACCAUCAUGAAGAUGAAGCCUUGUAGGUUCCAAUUGUGGUUUACCCACAGAGUGUUCUGGGCAAAUCACUCUGUGAUUCUGUUUUCCGUGUCAUUAAAAGAGGAGAGUAUUACCACCCUCCUAAAAUGGGUAUUGUGAGGAUUAAAUGGAAACAAAAUAGGUUUUGUGGAAAUUGUAAAUGUUACCUUAACACUACACCAAUGUUAGUUAUUUUUUCCCAGUAUCUGAAAUUUGGGAGGAAAGAAUAAAAGACAGAAAAAUGAAAAAGAAGAGGAAGAGAAGGAAGAAGAGAGGAAGGACAUGUUUGCUUC
This 901-nucleotide long non-coding RNA is filed under the name Homo sapiens (human). RNAcentral's name for it is "HSALNT0393784". Lineage: Eukaryota; Metazoa; Chordata; Mammalia; Primates; Hominidae. The record is from RNAcentral.